UACGUAGGCAGCAAGCGUUGUUCGGAGUUACUGGGCGUAAAGGGUGUGUAGGCGGUUGCUUAAGUUUGUUGUGAAAUCUCCCGGCUCAACUGGGAGGGUGCGCCGAAUACUGAGUGACUAGAGUGCGGGAGAGGAAAGUGGAAUUCCUGGUGUAGCGGUGAAAUGCGUAGAUAUCAGGAGGAACACCGGUGGUGUAGACGGCUUUCUGGACCGUAACUGACGCUGAGACACGAAAGCGUGGGUAGCAAACAGG
This 253-nucleotide ribosomal RNA is filed under the name uncultured bacterium. RNAcentral's name for it is "partial 16S ribosomal RNA". It matches the Rfam family "Bacterial small subunit ribosomal RNA", at positions 524 to 776 of the family's 1533-position model. The record is from RNAcentral.